RNAcentral lists this microRNA precursor (69 nucleotides) under Spodoptera frugiperda (fall armyworm). RNAcentral's name for it is "microRNA sfr-mir-10486 precursor". The record is from miRBase by way of RNAcentral. Lineage: Eukaryota; Metazoa; Arthropoda; Insecta; Lepidoptera; Noctuidae.
GAUGACAAUUUUGUGAUUAUCUGAUGGCAUGCGGUCUAACGCAUUUGUGGAUAAUGCAACUAAUUCAUU